This 605-nucleotide long non-coding RNA is filed under the name Androctonus crassicauda. The record is from RNAcentral. Lineage: Eukaryota; Metazoa; Arthropoda; Arachnida; Scorpiones; Buthidae.
GGACUUACAACGCUCCCUUACUGAUGCUAGUUUAGGGCUUUCCACCAGGGUGGAACAAUGUACACACCACAACUUCCACUUCCUGGAUGUAGAGGUACAAAUAGAGAUGGGAGAAUACAUAACAAAUGUUUACAGAAAACCUACCUAUGUUUCUGUACUGAUCCCUCAUGGUCCUCUGACCCCAUGUCAUACAAGCUUGUAGCGUUCUGGGCCAUGUUCUCUAGAGUGUCCACACAUAUCAUCAAGUGGUCAGACAAAGAGAAAGAGUGCCAAUAUAUUCACAAAAUAGGAAGCAAAUAUGGUUACUCCUAUAAAAUAAUUGAAGAUGUAUGAAAAAGGUUUCUGUCCUCAACACAAAGAAUGAACCUUAAUGACUCCACUGACCAGAGACUUAAUAGGCCUAACUACAUUAAAGUCACAUACAAUAAAAGCAUAGUUAGUACCAUCACCAAAGUUCUAAAGACUGAGCAGUAUAUAGUGGUCAAAAAAGAGGCCUCACAGUAUUUGAGUUGCUGCAAAAUGACAAAGAUUGUAUACCUGAUGAUAGAAAAGCCAGAAUAUAUGCCAUUCCCUUAUACAACAAUGACGAAAACUGCAUACAGUGG